This 875-nucleotide ribosomal RNA is filed under the name uncultured bacterium. RNAcentral describes it as "bacterial SSU rRNA". It matches the Rfam family "Bacterial small subunit ribosomal RNA", at positions 8 to 916 of the family's 1533-position model. The record is from RNAcentral.
AGAGUUUGAUCAUGGCUCAGAAUCAACGCUGGCGGCGCGCUUAACACAUGCAAGUCGAACGAGAAAGGGGAGCAAUCCCUGAGUAAAGUGGCGUACGGGUGAGUAACACGUGGGUAAUCUACCUCUGGGUGGGGAAUAACCCUGGGAAACCGGGGCUAAUACCGCAUAACACUGAAAGGUCAAAGGCGCAAGUCGCCUGGAGAGGAGCCCGCGGCUGAUUAGCUAGUUGGUGGGGUAAAGGCUCACCAAGGCAUUGAUCGGUAGCCGGCCUGAGAGGGCACACGGCCACACUGGCACUGAAACACGGGCCAGACUCCUACGGGAGGCAGCAGUGGGGAAUCUUGCACAAUGGGGGAAACCCUGAUGCAGCGACGCCGCGUGAGUGAUGAAGCCCUUCGGGGUGUAAAGCUCUUUCGGCAGGGACGAUAAUGACGGUACCUGAAGAAGAAGCUGCGGCUAACUACGUGCCAGCAGCCGCGGUAAUACGUAGGCAGCGAGCGUUGUUCGGAGUUACUGGGCGUAAAGAGUGCGUAGGCGGUCUUCUAAGUUUGGUGUGAAAUCUCCCGGCUCAACUGGGAGGGUGCGCCGAAGACUGGAAGGCUUGAGUAUGGGAGAGGUAAGCGGAAUUCCUGGUGUAGCGGUGAAAUGCGUAGAUAUCAGGAGGAACACCUGCGGUGUAGACGGCUUACUGGACCAUAACUGACGCUGAGGCACGAAAGCGUGGGUAGCAAACAGGAUUAGAUACCCUGGUAGUCCACGCCCUAAACGAUGCAUACUUGGUGUGGGUAGUUCAUUCUAUCCGUGCCGGAGCUAACGCGUUAAGUAUGCCGCCUGGGGAGUACGGUCGCAAGGCUGAAACUCAAAUGAAUUGACGG